Molecule: non-coding RNA, 103 nt
Filed under: Sphingobacterium spiritivorum
Lineage: Bacteria; Pseudomonadati; Bacteroidota; Sphingobacteriia; Sphingobacteriales; Sphingobacteriaceae
Also listed under: 1 other name
Description: Sphingobacterium sp. SAM-I sequence
Rfam family: SAM riboswitch aptamer (S box leader)
About the family: The SAM riboswitch is found upstream of a number of genes which code for proteins involved in methionine or cysteine biosynthesis in Gram-positive bacteria. The SAM riboswitch acts at the level of transcription termination control. The predicted structure consists of a complex stem-loop region followed by a single stem loop terminator region.
Source: RNAcentral
CACUUAUAGAGAAAGGCAGAGGGAAUAGACCCAAUGAAGCCUUAGCAACCUGUCAUUUGACAAGGUGCUACAUUCUACCCAAUCAAAUUGGGAAUGAUAAGCU